GGACGAUUAAGGACAAACAAAUAUAAUCCUGUCUGAGAACGUAGGAGAUAACGGUGGACAAGGUGGAUAUUUCACUUCAAGGGUCCAGGAUAUGUAUUUAGAACUGAUUUCCAGAGCCGACCGUCGUGAACUCCUGACGAACAAAUGGAAAACGUGGCUCGCCACCCCAGUCCGGACAGCAUCGUCAUCACGGCGUGCACCCAGUAGCCUUGCUUUUUGCAGGCUGGGCACUUCCAUGAGACCAGCUCCGCGGGCAUGAGACGCCACUGGCACUCUUGGAUUCCUGACUCUGAUUGCGGAAUGGGGCGGUGAAGUCAGCUGGUGCCGUAAGACUUUCCAUCAGCCUUCCUGCUGGCAACUUGAUCACAGACUAUUGCCUGUAGAACUGUGAGGCCAUAAAUUUUGGCUACCCAGUUUAUGGUACUUUGUCACAGCAGACCUAGGAAGCUAAUAUACCACCUGAAAUCUGACCCGCUCUAUAAAGUUGAUCCAUAAGAAUUAUGCCUGUGUCCAAAAUCAGUUUGACCAAAUUCAGUUUUUUAAAAAAUUAACCAUUGAUCAGAACAUACCAGCGAGGGUUCCUGGGCACGCACUUCUGUCUGUUAACCCGGCUUUGUCACCAGAACCUGGUGCCUUAACCCUUCCCCUUUGAAGGGAAGCACAUGGUCCUUCCCACUUUGACUAGUCCCUCUGAUGCAAGGGCCACUGAGCAAUCAGUGUUCCCUCCUCCUGGAAUUGGGCAAGAGGCCACAGGGUGUAUCGUUCGCUGAGCCCGAGGCCUGGACAACAGCAGACAGCAGGGUGAGGAGCUCGGGUGGCUAAGCCAUGGGUCUUCUUAGGAUGGACAGGAUAUGGUGGCACCGGAAGGCCGAGAGCGUCCAGCAAGGAGAAGUCAAGCUCAGAACCCUCGGUGGCACACGUGCGAGACUGGGCAGGAGAAGAAUCAGCGGAGGAGGCCGAGAGGCAGUUGGCAGAAAGGUGGCAGGGAAACCAGGGAGAAAACGUCUUAGAAGCCAAGGGAGAAGGGCACUCAUAGCGAGGGCAGCCUGUGCCCCCGGAAGGACACAAGAUGAGGACCAAGACGAGGCACCGAAUUUGCAGACUGGGAGCCAGCGGCUUUUAGACACGCUAUCUCUGUGCCACGGAAGCUGGGUUAGCGUGGAACGGGAGAUGGGCCAGAGGUGGUGGAGAGGAGAGAAUACAAGUGGAUAUUUUGAAGGGAUCUCAUGGUACAAGGAGAGAGAAGACAGGAGGCAGCAUUAAGGAGGAGAUUGUUCUCCUGGUUUAGUAGUCUAUUUUUAACAUUGAGGAAAGAAUGAAAUGUUUGUGUUCCGAGGAGAGAGGAGAGACAGAAGCAGAAAGAGAGAAGAAAGAGAUCAUUCGGAAGGAAAGUCCCAGUGGAAGAGGCAGGGGCAUGAGCUCAACCAUGGAAAGGACCAUCUCCACUGAGCUGAGAAAGAAGCACAUGCAGAUAUAGACUCAGCUGAAGGGCUUUGGUUGGGGGGCAGGGGCAGGCAUGAGACCGGCAGAGCUCCGGGCUUCAUUUUGAUAGGAAGUAAGUAGGAAGAAAGGUCAAGGGAGUCCUGGUUCCUUCCAAUACUGUGACUUAGCACAAACUGCUGGCUCCCUUGCCCAAGACCGGUGUUGGAGAAACAAAA
Molecule: long non-coding RNA, 1658 nt
Organism: Felis catus (domestic cat)
Lineage: Eukaryota; Metazoa; Chordata; Mammalia; Carnivora; Felidae
Exons: 3
Source: RefSeq, a predicted model, not a curated record